UGCAAGUCGAACGCAGUAGCAAUACUGAGUGGCAAACGGGUGAGUAUAAUGUGGGAAUCUGCCUUUUGGUUUGGAAUAACACGGGGAAACUUGUGCUAAUACCGAAUAAGCCCUUACGGGGAAAGUUUUAACGCCGAAAGAUGAGCCUGCACUUGAUUAGCUAGUUGGUAAGGUAAAGGCUUACCAAGGCAACGAUCAAUAGCUGUUCUUAGAGGAAGACCAGCCACAUUGGGACUGAGACACGGCCCAGACUCCUACGGGAGGCAGCAGUGGGGAAUCUUGCACAAUGGGGGAAACCCUGACGCAGCGAUGCCGCGUGAGUGAAGAAGGCCCUUGGGUUGUAAAACUCUUUCGUCGGGGAAGAAAAUGACUGUACCCGAAUAAGAAGGUCCGGCUAACUUCGUGCCAGCAGCCGCGGUAAUACGAAGGGACCUAGCGUAGUUCGGAAUUACUGGGCUUAAAGAGCUCGUAGGUGGUUAAAAAAGUUGAUGGUGAAAUCCCAAGGCUCAACCUUGGAACUGCCAUCAAAACUUUUUAGCUAGAGUGUGAUAGAGGUAAGUGGAAUUUCUAGUGUAGAGGUGAAAUUCGUAGAUAUUAGAAAGAACACCAAAUGCGAAGGCAACUUACUGGGUCACUACUGACACUGAGGAGCGAAAGCAUGGGUAGCGAAGAGGAUUAGAUACCCUCGUAGUCCAUGCCGUAAACGAUGUGUGCUAGACGUUGGAAAUAUAUUUUUCAGUGUCGCAGCGAAAGCAUUAAGCACACCGCCUGGGGAGUACGACCGCAAGGUUAAAACUCAAAUGAAUUGACGGGGACCCGCACAAGCAGUGGAGCAUGUGGUUUAAUUCGAAGAUACGCGCAGAACCUUACCAACACUUGACAUGUUCGUCGCGAAACUAAGAGAUUAGUUUUUUCAGUUAGGCUGGACGAAACACAGGUGCUGCAUGGCUGUCGUCAGCUC
This 961-nucleotide ribosomal RNA is filed under the name uncultured marine bacterium. Its description in RNAcentral is "bacterial SSU rRNA". It matches the Rfam family "Bacterial small subunit ribosomal RNA", at positions 56 to 1061 of the family's 1533-position model. The record is from RNAcentral.